Non-coding RNA from Xiphophorus hellerii (green swordtail), 702 nucleotides. The record is from the annotation of a RefSeq genome assembly. Lineage: Eukaryota; Metazoa; Chordata; Actinopteri; Cyprinodontiformes; Poeciliidae.
AGCGGAUCUGUCCCUGAUCUCUAAAGAGACUCAAACUUCCUCCUUCAGCUCAGCUCAACUCUCCAACAUUAACUCUGCUCAACAUGCUGUCUCUGCUCACAUCUGGAUUCACUCUGCUGGUUCUGAUCACUGGAUCAGGUGUAAACUGUCAACAACUCACUGCAGCGAAGACUGAGGAGUUCAGUUCAGAGGGCAGCUCUGUUACUCUGACCUGUAGUUACACCAACAAGAUAGCUCUUGGUGAUGAUUUCUUUUGGUAUCAGCAAAAUCCUGGAAAACCUCCAGAGUUCAUCUUCUACGUCUCAGGACUCAACAACUCAAGAUCAGCAGAGUCUCUGAAAUCAUUAACAAGAUUCUCCACUUACCUGAGAGGAGAGAAACACCUGGAUCUGCUGAUCUCCUCUGCUGCAGUGACAGACUCUGCUGUGUACUACUGCGCUGUGAGGCCCACAGUGACAGGAAACACCAGAACCCUGUACAAAAACCUGCAGUACUCCACAGCAGCCACUAGAGGCCCUCACUCCCUGCUCUUCAACGGUUUGUCAAGAUUCAGACUGAUGUGAUCAAACCUGAACAAGAAAUACAAGUAAUAAAAAACUAGUAACAGGGACGGUGGGUUAAACCUACUGCUGCUCUGUGGCGCUCAGAGAACAGGAAGAACCCAGAACAGUUAAAUAAUUGUGAUUAAUUCACAAACAUCCU